AAUGGACGCAAGUCUGAUGGAGCAACGCCGCGUGAGUGAAGAAGGUUUUCGGAUCGUAAAGCUCUGUUGUUGGUGAAGAAGGAUAGAGGUAGUAACUGGCCUUUAUUUGACGGUAAUCAACCAGAAAGUCACGGCUAACUACGUGCCAGCAGCCGCGGUAAUACGUAGGUGGCAAGCGUUGUCCGGAUUUAUUGGGCGUAAAGCGAGCGCAGGCGGAAGAAUAAGUCUGAUGUGAAAGCCCUCGGCUUAACCGAGGAACUGCAUCGGAAACUGUUUUUCUUGAGUGCAGAAGAGGAGAGUGGAACUCCAUGUGUAGCGGUGGAAUGCGUAGAUAUAUGGAAGAACACCAGUGGCGAAGGCGGCUCUCUGGUCUGCAACUGACGCUGAGGCUCGAAAGCAUGGGUAGCGAACAGGAUUAGAUACCCUGGUAGUCCAUGCCGUAAACGAUGAGUGCUAAGUGUUGGGAGGUUUCCGCCUCUCAGUGCUGCAGCUAACGCAUUAAGCACUCCGCCUGGGGAGUACGACCGCAAGGUUGAAACUCAAAGGAAUUGACGGGGGCCCGCACAAGCGGUGGAGCAUGUGGUUUAAUUCGAAGCAACGCGAAGAACCUUACCAGGUCUUGACAUCUAGUGCCAUUUGUAGAGAUACAAAGUUUCCCUUCGGGGACGCUAAGACAGGUGGUGCAUGG
This 688-nucleotide ribosomal RNA is filed under the name Lactobacillus crispatus. Its description in RNAcentral is "bacterial SSU rRNA". It matches the Rfam family "Bacterial small subunit ribosomal RNA", at positions 370 to 1048 of the family's 1533-position model. Lineage: Bacteria; Bacillati; Bacillota; Bacilli; Lactobacillales; Lactobacillaceae. The record is from RNAcentral.